This 497-nucleotide ribosomal RNA is filed under the name uncultured bacterium. RNAcentral describes it as "partial 16S ribosomal RNA". It matches the Rfam family "Bacterial small subunit ribosomal RNA", at positions 28 to 507 of the family's 1533-position model. The record is from RNAcentral.
GAUGAACGCUGGCGGCGUGCCUAAUACAUGCAAGUCGAGCGAACAGACGAGGAGCUUGCUCCUCUGACGUUAUCGGCGGACGGGUGAUUAACACGUGGAUAACCUACCUAUAAGACUGGGAUAACUUCGGGAAACCGGAGCUAAUACCGGAUAAUAUAUUGAACCGCAUGGUUCAAUAGUGAAAGACGGUUUUGCUGUCACUUAUAGAUGGAUCCGCGCCGCAUUAGCUAGUUGGUAAGGUAACGGCUUACCAAGGCAACGAUGCGUAGCCGACCUGAGAGGGUGAUCGGCCACACUGGAACUGAGACACGGUCCAGACUCCUACGGGAGGCAGCAGUAGGGAAUCUUCCGCAAUGGGCGAAAGCGUGACGGAGCAACGCCGCGUGAGUGAUGAAGGUCUUCGGAUCGUAAAACGCUGUUAUUAGGGAAGAACAAAUGUGUAAGUAACUAUGCACGUCUUGACGGUACCUAAUCAGAAAGCCACGGCUAACUACGUG